AGUGAGAUUCAACGGGAUAGAGUUUGGAGCUCACAGCCAAGAUUGAAGAGCCCUCAUUCUCCAUUAUUUCAUUUGAUCUUCACAACACCAGGAGGGGAGUCCAGAUUACCAGCUGCUGAGGUUGUAGUGAAGAAUCCUGAAAGAGCUUGUGCAGUUGGACUGAAUAGCCUGUGGGGUCUCUUCUGGUUCGGUGGUUCUGUGAGAGCUGUGUCCAGGGGACAGGAGAAAAAAGCCACCAUAGUAAUGCUUCAUUGGAGAAUGGAAGUGUCCCUUCAUUCUCAGACACUCUACCAAUAGAAUACAAACUCUGGAAGAUCUCUUCUAAGCUUGAAAUGACUAAGCUCAGGGCAGAGAAUCUGCUCUGAUGUCUCAUCUGUGGCUCAACCUAGGUAAGUCUGCUGAGGAUACCAAGGGAUGAAUAUUUUCGGCCACAGCAACUCACCAGACUUGUCCACUACAACUACAGUCUACCCCAGUGCACUUGGGUGCUCACAAAAUUAGAUUAAGGAUCCAUGAGGUAUUAGGCAAAAUGUCAUUGGCAAAGCUGUAAGUGACAGUAAAAAAGUAUACUAAUACCACAGUAGGAAAAGCAGUCCAUUCAAAGUCAGGAACACCUGGAUUUGAAUCUUGACUGUUAUUUACUAUUUUUGUGAUUUUGGAAAAAUCAGUUUAGGGCUUCUGUUUCCUUGUUUGUAAACAUGAGGGGGUUGGAUGAGACAGCCUCCUUC
This 728-nucleotide long non-coding RNA is filed under the name Monodelphis domestica (gray short-tailed opossum). RNAcentral's name for it is "lncRNA (ENSMODG00000031401.2)". The record is from RNAcentral. Lineage: Eukaryota; Metazoa; Chordata; Mammalia; Didelphimorphia; Didelphidae.